This 497-nucleotide ribosomal RNA is filed under the name uncultured bacterium. RNAcentral's name for it is "partial 16S ribosomal RNA". It matches the Rfam family "Bacterial small subunit ribosomal RNA", at positions 28 to 507 of the family's 1533-position model. The record is from RNAcentral.
GAUGAACGCUGGCGGCGUGCCUAAUACAUGCAAGUCGAGCGAACGGACGAGAAGCUUGCUUCUCUGAUGUUAGCGGCGGACGGGUGAGUAACACGUGGAUAACCUACCUAUAAGACUGGGAUAACUUCGGGAAACCGGAGCUAAUACCGGAUGAUAUUUUGUACCGCAUGGUUCAAAAGUGAAAGACAGUUUUGCUGUCACUUAUAGAUGGAUCCGCGCUGCAUUAGCUAGUUGGUAAGGUAACGGCUUACCAAGGCAACGAUGCAUAGCCGACCUGAGAGGGUGAUCGGCCACACUGGAACUGAGACACGGUCCAGACUCCUACGGGAGGCAGCAGUAGGGAAUCUUCCGCAAUGGGCGAAAGCCUGACGGAGCAACGCCGCGUGAGUGAUGAAGGUCUUCGGAUCGUAAAGCUCUGUUACUAGGGAAGAACAUAUGUGUAAGUAACUGUGCACAUCUUGACGGUACCUAAUCAGAAAGCCACGGCUAACUACGUG